UUUCCUUAUUAAUUGGUUCAAACCAGUUCUUACAGGAACUGGUGGUGAUAAAUGUGGGACUUCUGAGAAGUCAUUCAUUUUAUUCUUUGUGCCACACCAGAGUACAGCAUCAGCUGAGCUGGCCUUACUCUGGGGACUAGCUCUUUUGCUGGAAGCGGUUCCUGAUUUACAGCUCUUGGUUUCUCCCAGACAUGUUGGUGGGAGAGAUUUUGCUUUUUAAGGGUUGUUAGAAGGAGUAAAUUUUUUUUUUUUUUUUAACUAAAAAGAGCUCGCAGAAUUUCAGCAGUUUUCUGAUUUUUAUAUUUUAUUCCUCUUCCUAUCCAAUCCCUGCCUUUUGAGUCCAGGUGGUCCAUCUCUGCAGAAGCCAUUUCAGGAGUACCUGGAGGCUCAACGGCAGAAGCUUCACCACAAAAGCGAAAUGGGCACACCACAGGGAGAAAACUGGUUGUCCUGGAUGUUUGAAAAGUUGGUCGUUGUCAUGGUGUGUUACUUCAUCCUAUCUAUCAUUAACUCCAUGGCACAAAGUUAUGCCAAACGAAUCCAGCAGCGGUUGAACUCAGAGGAGAAAACUAAAUAAGUAGAGAAAGUUUUAAACUGCAGAAAUUGGAGUGGAUGGGUUCUGCCUUAAAUUGGGAGGACUCCAAGCCAGGAAGGAAAAUUCCCUUUUCCAACCUGUAUCAAUUUUUACAACGUUUUUCCUGAAAGCAGUUUAGUCCAUACUUUGCACUGACAUACUUUUUCCUUCUGUGCUAAGGUAAGGUAUCCACCCUCGAUCCAAUCCACCUUGUGUUUUCUUAGGGUGGAAUGUGAUGUUCAGCAGCAAACUUGCAAUAGGCUGGCCUUCUGUUUGUUACUUUCAAAAGGCCCACAUGA
This 873-nucleotide small RNA is filed under the name Pongo abelii (Sumatran orangutan). RNAcentral describes it as "processed transcript". The record is from RNAcentral. Lineage: Eukaryota; Metazoa; Chordata; Mammalia; Primates; Hominidae.